AAUUCUCAACCCAUUUCAUUUGUUUAUCAAGUGAAGUGUGUGUUGGAUGUGGGGGUUGCGGGCUUUCAUUCAGUUGAAGUCGGCUCUCCUGAAAUGCAUUAGCGGAAACCUUUGUUGGACCGCUUCUAUUGGGUGUGAUAAUUAUCUACGCCUAGGAAGCGCGAAAGCACUUGGGUUCAAUUUUGAACCGGGGUUUUGCUUCUAAUCGUCCAUUCACUUGGACAAUUUACUUUGAC
Molecule: unclassified non-coding RNA, 236 nt
Filed under: Cyathus olla
Lineage: Eukaryota; Fungi; Basidiomycota; Agaricomycetes; Agaricales; Nidulariaceae
Description: partial internal transcribed spacer 2
Source: RNAcentral